GACGAACGCUGGCGGCGUGCUUAACACAUGCAAGUCGAACGGAAAGGCCCUGCUUUUGUGGGGUGCUCGAGUGGCGAACGGGUGAGUAACACGUGAGUAACCUGCCCUUGACUUUGGGAUAACUUCAGGAAACUGGGGCUAAUACCGGAUAGGAGCUCCUGCUGCAUGGUGGGGGUUGGAAAGUUUCGGCGGUUGGGGAUGGACUCGCGGCUUAUCAGCUUGUUGGUGGGGUAGUGGCUUACCAAGGCUUUGACGGGUAGCCGGCCUGAGAGGGUGACCGGCCACAUUGGGCUGAGGUUCCGGCCAGACUCCCGCGUGGGGCCGCCGGGGGGAAUUUUUCCCCAGGGGGCGGAACCCUUCUCCCGCACCCCCGCGUGGGGAAUCCCGCCUUUCGGUUUUAAACCCCUUUCCCCCUGUGACGAAGUGUGGGUGACGGUAAGGGAUAAAGAAGCCCCGCCUAACUCCGCC
Molecule: ribosomal RNA, 468 nt
Filed under: uncultured bacterium
Lineage: Bacteria
Description: partial 16S ribosomal RNA
Rfam family: Bacterial small subunit ribosomal RNA
Source: RNAcentral